GACGAACGCUGGCGGCGUGCUUAACACAUGCAAGUCGAACGGGAGUACUUUGAAAGCUUGCUGAUAAGUACUUUAGUGGCGGACGGGUGAGUAACGCGUGAGGAGCUGUCUUAUGCAGGGGGACAACAGUUGGAAACGGCUGCUAACACCCCAUAAGCCGAGAGGUAAAAGGAGCAAUCCGGCAGAGGAGGUACUCGCGUCCUAUCAGCUAGUAGGUUGGGUAACGGCCGACCUAGGCGAAGACGGGUAGCCGGCCUGAGAGGGCGAACGGCCACACUGGAACUGAGAUACGGUCCAGACUCCUACGGGAGGCAGCAGUGGGGAAUAUUGGGCAAUGGGGGGGAACCCUGACCCAGCGACGCCGCGUGGGUGAAGAAAUCCUUCGGGAUGUAAAGCCCUGUUGUAUGGGAAGAGCAGAAGACGGUACCAUACGAGGAAGCCCCGGCAAACUACGUG
This 456-nucleotide ribosomal RNA is filed under the name uncultured bacterium. RNAcentral's name for it is "bacterial SSU rRNA". It matches the Rfam family "Bacterial small subunit ribosomal RNA", at positions 28 to 507 of the family's 1533-position model. The record is from RNAcentral.